This is a long non-coding RNA of Canis lupus familiaris (dog), 1471 nucleotides long. RefSeq lists it as uncharacterized. NCBI's taxonomy places the organism in Eukaryota, Metazoa, Chordata, Mammalia, Carnivora, Canidae. The transcript is spliced from 4 exons. The record is from RefSeq and is a predicted model, not a curated record.
CCUAUUUUAAAUCUUUGCAAAAAAAUUUUAUGCUAAAAAAAAUUAAAGCCUUAAGUUAAACUCUAAUCUAUAUGCUUUUUAAAGUUCCUCUCAACUGAAAAUUCCGUGAUCAAGUCCUAUUUAGGUCACUUUGACAAUAACCUCUAUGGUAGAGCCCUUAAAAUUAUUUCCAAAGUUUAAAACAAAAUAAUAAGAGGGAAGGCAGAAUUUUUAAAAAUUGCAUAUACAAGUAUUCAAAGUAUGUUUAAAAAAAAGUCAGGGGUGCCUGGAUGGCUCAAUUGGUUAAGCAUCUACCUUGGGCUCAGGUCACGAUCCUGUAGUCCGGGGAUCGAGCCCCCAUGUCGCGCUCUCUGCGUAGGGGGGGGAUGUCUGCUAAUAAAAGACUAAAGGGAAAUUUACAAAAACAUUAAUUUCUAGCCGGGUGGGAUGAUAUGGAAAGUAUGCUAUUUCAUCUUCUUCGCUUUUUCAAGUUUUUUUUACAGUGAGAAUAUAUUACUUUUAUAUCAGGGAAAAAAACACCAUACCAAACUUGUUUCUAAUGACUAUGAAACUAGGUUCAUUAUCUUCCUUCCAGAUAUGGCAAUGAUUUCUUAGCUCUUCUCCUUAAAUCUAAUCUCUCCAUUCAGCAAAUCACAUAGCAUCUAAAUAGGAAAUGAAUCUUUCUUAAAUACCCAUAUGCUGUUUAUAUAAGUCUCUAUUUUUCUUUUACUUAAACAUGUUUAGUACUGUAUUAUCCCUACAGAUCAAGUCUCAACUUCUUCAGUCGGUCUCACAAAACAUAUCCAGCCUUGUUUCCCAUGACUUUACAAGCUAGUUAGCUCAGGGUCCCAUAAACAUGAAGAGGGCCACUCAUUCUUUUGGUCUUGGUUCUUCUGUAAGAAUUCAAUGGAAUACCUCGCCUUCUGCCUAUUCAAACACAGCUCCAGCUUAGCUUCCCCUCUCAGACUUGUUAGAAUAUUACAGUUUUCCAUGAUUUUUUAUACCUACUCCUAAAGAGCUAACGAUUUCACAUAAUUUAAUGUUUGAUCACCUAAGAUCUCAUAUUCCAUGUGUAACAACCUUAUGUCAUCAGUUAAGCGUGUUAGCUAUUUGAUGUAAAGAACUCUGAAUUAUUUCGUUAACUCCACUUUCUGCUCAGAACUAGCUCAGUAGUAAGGACCCUUCGGGCAUUCACCAAAUACUUGCUCACUAAAAGGAAGAUGCUUGAAAAAUCCAAAUAGUACCUGCACUUGUUGCAGAUCUGCUCUGAGAGCUCCUCUCUUCAUGACGGCCCCGAGUUGAUCUUUUCUGUGAGACACUUGACUGGAGAAGCCCUGUCUCUGACAAUUGCGCUAUCAAUGAACAGCUUCCGUAUUUCUUAGGAUACUCGUGAGGACCAAAUUAAAUAAUGCAUGUGGAAGUGGUUUCAGGAAUGAAAGUCACACACACAGAGAGAGAGAGAGGCAGAGACACAGGCAGAGGGAGAAGCAGG